This is a long non-coding RNA of Centruroides sculpturatus (bark scorpion), 142 nucleotides long. RefSeq lists it as uncharacterized. The transcript is spliced from 2 exons. The record is from RefSeq and is a predicted model, not a curated record. NCBI's taxonomy places the organism in Eukaryota, Metazoa, Arthropoda, Arachnida, Scorpiones, Buthidae.
GUAUUAAUUUUAGCAAAAUUGCAUAUCAUAUUAACAAUUAUUUGUACAUAUUUAUGCCACGGUGCUGCGAUUUUAAAUGAUACUCCUUUAGAUACCAUUGUAGUUAAUGAAGGAGAAGAGGCAUUAUUAGAUUGCGUAGUAA